Glycine soja is the source of this 115-nucleotide non-coding RNA. The record is from Rfam. NCBI's taxonomy places the organism in Eukaryota, Viridiplantae, Streptophyta, Magnoliopsida, Fabales, Fabaceae.
UUUUUAUUAAAUGAUGACUGUCACAUAUCAUGUUUUAAUUGGAUGUCAACUCCAUAAAAAAUGAAAUGCAUUGCUGUUUUCAUUGACCAAUCAUAACAUGACACUCUCAUCAUCC